RNAcentral lists this ribosomal RNA (253 nucleotides) under uncultured bacterium. RNAcentral's name for it is "partial 16S ribosomal RNA". It matches the Rfam family "Bacterial small subunit ribosomal RNA", at positions 524 to 776 of the family's 1533-position model. The record is from RNAcentral.
UACGGAGGGUGCGAGCGUUAAUCGGAAUUACUGGGCGUAAAGCGUGCGUAGGUGGUUUGGUAAGUAGGUUGUGAAAUACCCGAGCUUAACUUGGGGGCUGCAGUCUAAACUGCUAGACUAGAGGUCAGUAGAGGGAGGUGGAAUUCCUGGUGUAGCGGUGAAAUGCGUAGAUAUCAGGAGGAAUACCGAUGGCGAAGGCAGGUCUCUGGGCUGACACUGACGCUCAUGCACGAAAGCGUGGGGAGCAAACAGG